UAGCUGUGGUGUCAUGAUGCCUGUUUGAU
RNAcentral lists this non-coding RNA (29 nucleotides) under Mus musculus (house mouse). Lineage: Eukaryota; Metazoa; Chordata; Mammalia; Rodentia; Muridae. The record is from RNAcentral.